AUUAAGUGGAGUUGGUGUGUGGUCCAAAUUAUUGGUCUACGGGUCUCUUUUCCAAUCUUAAAAUGAUAAACAUUAGACAUUGGCCAUGCUGUCAAUCCAGAAUGAUUUCUGCUGCGCUUAAAACAACUCAGAAGAGAGAAAUCUGACAGUGAAUUCAAGAAAACUGGUAACUCAGGAAAAAAAAAAUUGCUCAGACUGUGAAAAUACAUUUUGAACGGUCAUCCCAACUCGGAAGUGUAAAUCGGGAACUUGGGCCUCUUUCUAGAGCUACGACCUGAAAAUCACUGACGUCAUCAUGAUUCAACUUUGUCCUCGCCUCGCCAUAGUUCCCAGUUGUCCCAGCACCAUCAAUCCAGAGAAUGUCAGACUUGGAUGAGUAAGUUUGCCCACAAAAGGACCGCCGCACCUCCUUCCUGUUCAAGUGAGCAAAGCACAAGGUGUCUACAGCCUUUAGACGAAGUUUCACGCCUUUAUGUUGAAGAGUGAGCGUAAAGGACCACAUUGCAUAAGUGGCCAGCUGAGGGCUCUGAGUGAUUCUUGCACAAAAGACAGAGAAAACUUGGGGGCCAAUUUGGCCCGCCUGCGGGGCCGCCAGUUGGAGAGCCCUGAUCUACACAAUUCUUCUGGUCGAUGGCUAGAAAGAAUGUGGCCUCUGAAAUGGUCGGGCACCCAUUGAAAUCAAAUCGUCUAGGAUGGCACGUGCUGUUGUUUGACAGAUGAACCUUGAAACAUGGAAUCAGUCUAGAGAUUUGGAACGUUGUAACCUGACCAUAAGAGCUUGAUAAAUAAAACACUACAGAAAUGCAAAGGUUGCAAAUAACACUCAAAAUAUACUGAACAAAAAUAUAAAACACAGCAUGUAAAAAGUGUUGAUCCCAUGUUUUAUGAGCUGAAAUAAAAGAUUCCAGACCUUUCC
Molecule: non-coding RNA, 916 nt
Organism: Oncorhynchus mykiss (rainbow trout)
Lineage: Eukaryota; Metazoa; Chordata; Actinopteri; Salmoniformes; Salmonidae
Source: RefSeq, a predicted model, not a curated record